Molecule: small RNA, 549 nt
Filed under: Pongo abelii (Sumatran orangutan)
Lineage: Eukaryota; Metazoa; Chordata; Mammalia; Primates; Hominidae
Description: processed transcript
Source: RNAcentral
AUUAAUGAAAAGGGCAAUAGGAUCUUGAAAGGUGGAGGACACUGUCUAAAACGAUACAAAAGCUGCAGAGUCACCGGGCCUGCGAGCUUCCCAUGGCGAAGCUGGGACUCCCUGACAACCGCACAAACUCGCGUGGGGAUUUCAACGUCCCGAAGCACCCAGAUUCCUGUUGUGGCUGGACUCAGGGCUAGGGUGCUGCGAAAGGCAGGUUUGAAGCAGAAAGACAAAAAAAAAAAAAAAAAAGGUCACCUGAGUCAGCCCCAGGCGCUGCGUACAGAACAACCAUGGGGGAGGGUCCUGGACCCUGCCUGGACGGGUUCUGGACACUGGGCGGGGACGGGGCGGGAGGGGGGAAAGGUCAAAGAGGGGGCGGAACCUGAACAGGUGCUGGGUCGGGGCGAGAGGGUGGAGGCCGCUGACUGACUGCUAAAGACUCUUGGUACGUGAGGAAGAAACCCAGAAGAGGAAGAGAGGAAGAGGAAAGCAAAGGAGUCAGGGAUGGCUCUUUCUCAGAGUUGUCAGGGGAGUGUCCAUUGGCAGCACCUGCCU